ACGAACGCUGGCGGCGUGCUUAACACAUGCAAGUCGAACGGUGAAGCUCCAGCUUGCUGGAGUGGAUCAGUGGCGAACGGGUGAGUAACACGUGAGCAACCUGCCCCAGACUCUGGAAUAAGCGCUGGAAACGGCGUCUAAUACUGGAUACGAGAUCAAGCCGCAUGGUUAUGGUCUGGAAAGUUUUCCGGGUUGGGAUGGGCUGGCGGCCUAUCAGCUUGUUGGUGAGGUAAUGGCUCACCAAGGCGACGACGGGUAGGCGGCCUGAGAGGGCGACCGGCCACACUGGGACUGAGACACGGCCCAGACUCCUACGGGAGGCAGCAGUGGGGAAUAUUGCACAGUGGGCGAAAGCCUGAUGCAGCGACGCCGCGUGAGGGAUGACGGCCUUCGGGUUGUAAACCUCUUUCAGCAGGGAAGAAGCGAAAGUGACGGUACCUGCAGAAGAAGCACCGGCUAACUACGUG
This 467-nucleotide ribosomal RNA is filed under the name uncultured bacterium. Its description in RNAcentral is "partial 16S ribosomal RNA". It matches the Rfam family "Bacterial small subunit ribosomal RNA", at positions 29 to 507 of the family's 1533-position model. The record is from RNAcentral.